GAUGAACGCUGGCGGCGUGCCUAAUACAUGCAAGUCGAGCGAACGGACGAGAAGCUUGCUUCUCUGAUGUUAGCGGCGGACGGGUGAGUAACACGUGGAUAACCUACCUAUAAGACUGGGAUAACUUCGGGAAACCGGAGCUAAUACCGGAUGAUAUUUUGAACCGCAUGGUACAAAAGUGAAAGACGGUCUUGCUGUCACUUAUAGAUGGAUCCGCGCUGCAUUAGCUAGUUGGUAAGGUAACGGCUUACCAAGGCAACGAUGCAUAGCCGACCUGAGAGGGUGAUCGGCCACACUGGAACUGAGACACGGUCCAGACUCCUACGGGAGGCAGCAGUAGGGAAUCUUCCGCAAAGGGCGAAAGCCUGACGGAGCAACGCCGCGUGAGUGAUGAAGGUCUUCGGAUCGUAAAACUCUGUUAUUAGGGAAGAACAUAUGUGUAAGUAACUGUGCACAUCUUGACGGUACCUAAUCAGAAAGCCACGGCUAACUACGUG
Molecule: ribosomal RNA, 497 nt
Filed under: uncultured bacterium
Lineage: Bacteria
Description: partial 16S ribosomal RNA
Rfam family: Bacterial small subunit ribosomal RNA
Source: RNAcentral